AGAAUCAACGCUGGCGGCGUGCCUAACACAUGCAAGUCGAACGAGAAAGUGGAGCAAUCCAUUAGUAAAGUGGCGCACGGGUGAGUAACACGUGACUAACCUACCCUUGAGUGGGGGAUAACCUAGAGAAAUCUGGGCUAAUACCGCAUAAUACCUUCGGGUCAAAGGAGCAAUUCGCUUAAGGAGGGGGUCGCGGCCGAUUAGUUAGUUGGCGGGGUAAUGGCCCACCAAGACUAUGAUCGGUAUCCGGCCUGAGAGGGCGCACGGACACACUGGAACUGAAACACGGUCCAGACUCCUACGGGAGGCAGCAGUGGGAAUUUGCGCAAUGGGGGAAACCCUGACGCAGCAACGCCGCGUGGAGGAUGAAGCCCCUUGGGGCGUAAACUCCUUUCGAUCGGGACGAUAAUGACGGUACCGAGAGAAGAAGCCCCGGCUAACUUCGUGCCAGCAGCCGC
This 458-nucleotide ribosomal RNA is filed under the name uncultured bacterium. RNAcentral describes it as "SSU rRNA". It matches the Rfam family "Bacterial small subunit ribosomal RNA", at positions 26 to 518 of the family's 1533-position model. The record is from RNAcentral.